UUGGGGAGAGGGAACCAAGAAGUGGCUAGUGCUACCUUUUAAGGGCCUUGUGGCGAGUAGUUCUGCCUUGAUUGUGCUGCCUGAUGAAGGCCAAAUAGUUAAUGGUUCAAACUGGUGUCUUAACUUUUCCUACAGGUGGCAAAGGGAGUUUGGAGGCAGAACUCGAACCCGCCACGUGCAGUGGGUAUUCCCUUUGGCAUGGCUAGUGACAUGGCAGCGUCUCAAACCCAUCGCCUGCACCAGUUAUUGGCUUUAGCAUGAUUAAUGAUGCGGCUGAGUCUCAAGCCCACCAUCUGCAAGAGUUGGUGAAUAACAGUCUGCCCAAAUGGACCAACUUAAUGAGGCAUUCACCUGUUGCUAGCAUGUUAUUUAUUAUCCUGGAAUUUAUUAAACAUGCAUGUUAGUCUUCUUCCGAUGGACUUCUGUGAAUUACCAGUCAUUCUUCCCAGCUCACACUAUGCAUCAGGUUACUCGACCACUUAUUGAUGGUACAGGUUGAUGGAGAACUUCUGUCUUUCCGAGGCUGAUAGUUAGUCUGAAGAGUUCCGAGGCCUCAGCAAACUUGUUGACA
This is a non-coding RNA of Chelonoidis abingdonii (Abingdon island giant tortoise), 571 nucleotides long. The record is from RefSeq and is a predicted model, not a curated record. Lineage: Eukaryota; Metazoa; Chordata; Testudines; Testudinidae.